Molecule: long non-coding RNA, 713 nt
Filed under: Mytilus galloprovincialis (Mediterranean mussel)
Lineage: Eukaryota; Metazoa; Mollusca; Bivalvia; Mytilida; Mytilidae
Source: RNAcentral
AGCAUGCAUAACAACCUCACUUCCGGUAGAGUUUCAAAACACGACGUUUCAUUCUCGGAAUAAGCCUUCAAGCUUUAGUUUAGGAAAUCUGUUGCAUUAAACAACAAAUACCACUUUUAAAUCGACAAAAUAUUGUGAAGGUGGAUCUCUGUGAUUGAGAUUUCCGCCAAUGGUAUCUCAGACAUGUUUGAUAGGGUUUAAGUAUGGGGACAUGGGGGACAUGGAAGGCUAAAAAAUAGUGAAAAUUGCUUUUUGCUCUUUGGACUCGGUUAAAAUCCUUGCUCUGUGUGUUCUAGCGUUGUCGUCCAUGUACAAGAGUCUUGGAAAUGUAGACGCAAGUGGGGGAUUAUUAAAAUGAGGGACUAAAAUGUUUUAAGGCUACAAAUCUCUGUUUGUCUGUCCGUUUAUGCUACCCUGCAGAACAUGCAUAUCCAGCUUAUAACGGUAUAAGAAGCAACCCCGUACUGGAACACCACCAGCACUGAAUGCAGUCCUUGUGCAAACAUUGUUUUUGGUCAUAGGCCGUUUUGUUUCCCCGCGAAAUUCGUAUUUUGGCGUCUACUGGCAGUAAAAGAAACUGACUACCAUCUGAACAAUGAGUGUUUUGUCAGCUUCUUAUGUUCAAGCAUAGAUAGUCAUUAUCCCAUUAAAACCUGACGGUGGAGUGCCUUCCUGUAAGUACAGGUCUCUAUACACCAAGACUUGCUCUUCAG